This 497-nucleotide ribosomal RNA is filed under the name uncultured bacterium. RNAcentral describes it as "partial 16S ribosomal RNA". It matches the Rfam family "Bacterial small subunit ribosomal RNA", at positions 28 to 507 of the family's 1533-position model. The record is from RNAcentral.
GAUGAACGCUGGCGGCGUGCCUAAUACAUGCAAGUCGAGCGAACAGAUGAGGAGCUUGCUCCUCUGACGUUAGCGGCGGACGGGUGAGUAACACGUGGAUAACCUACCUAUAAGACUGGGAUAACUUCGGGAAACCGGAGCCAAUACCGGAUAAUAUAUUCAACCGCAUGGUUCAAUAGUGAAAGACGGUUUUGCUGUCACUUAUAGACGGAUCCGCGCCGCAUUAGCUAGUUGGUAAGGUAACGGCUUACCAAGGCAACGAUGCGUAGCUGACCUGAGAGGAUGAUCGGCCACACUGGAACUGAGACACGGUCCAGACUCCUACGGGAGGCAGCAGUAGGGAAUCUUCCGCAAUGGGCGAAAGCCUGACGGAGCAACGCCGCGUGAGUGAUGAAGGUCUUCGGAUCGUAAAACUCUGUUAUUAGGGAAGAACAAAUGUGUAAGUAACUAUGCACGUCUUGACGGUACCUAAUCAGAAAGCCACGGCUAACUACGUG